AACGAACGCUGGCGGCAUGCCUAACACAUGCAAGUCGAACGAGAUCUUCGGGUCUAGUGGCGCACGGGUGCGUAACGCGUGGGAAUCUGCCCUUUGGUUCGGAAUAACAGUUGGAAACGACUGCUAAUACCGGAUGAUGACGAAAGUCCAAAGAUUUAUCGCCAGAGGAUGAGCUCGCGUAGGAUUAGCUAGUUGGUGUGGUAAAGGCGCACCAAGGCGACGAUCCGUAGCUGGUCUGAGAGGAUGAGCAGCCACACUGGGACUGGGACACGGCCCGGAUUCCUACGGGAGGCAGCAGGGGUGAAUAUUGGACAAUGGGCGAAAGCCUGAUCCAGCAAUGCCGCGUGAGUGAUGAAGGCCUUAGGGUUGUAAAGCUCUUUUACCCGGGAUGAUAAUGACAGUACCGGGAGAAUAAGCUCUGGCUAACUCCGUGCCAGCCGCCGCAGUAA
RNAcentral lists this ribosomal RNA (449 nucleotides) under uncultured bacterium. Its description in RNAcentral is "partial 16S ribosomal RNA". It matches the Rfam family "Bacterial small subunit ribosomal RNA", at positions 29 to 523 of the family's 1533-position model. The record is from RNAcentral.